GAAGGGGAAGGGAUAGGCGGAAGGGCGACUCAAAGUCUCAAGAUGGCUAAAUCCGCCGAACAGGAUUGCAUCGCCGCCCUCCUCUGUUUGGCGGCGCAGCUGGGCAUAUCCGAUUCGCCGCCCUCUCCAUCGCUUACUCUCUCCACUAACUCUGGCCAUCCUUCUUCUUUUACCUCCUCGUUUCCUUGUUUGGGUCAUUCCCUUUUCGUCUUCUACUUCCCCGAUGCCGGCGGCCGAGGACUGGCCGCUGCCCGAGACCUCGAGAAGGGCGAGCUGAUUCUAAGAGUACCAAAGGCUGCUCUUUUUACAACGGAUAGCGCGAUGGCUGAUGCCAAAUUGGCGUCUUGCCUUGAGAGGCAUCGACAUCGCCUCUCCCCCGUUCAGAUGCUAGCAGUAUCCCUGUUGGCUGAAGUGGGAAAAGGAAGAAGUUCUCAGUGGUACCCUUACUUGGAGAAUUUACCUCGUAGUUAUGAUACAUUAGCUAACUUCACCAAUUUUGAAGUUAAAGCUUUUCAAGUUGAAGAUGCUAUUGGAGCUUCUGAGAAAGCCAUUGCUCUGGCAAAGUCAGACUGGAAAGAGGCUGUUGGCGUCUUGAAGGAAUUGGACCUUAAGCCUCAAUUUUUAACUUUUAGUUCCUGGCGUUGGGCUUCAGCAACUGUAUCCUCUCGGACAUUGCACAUACCCUGGGACAGUGCUGGUUGCUUAUGCCCCAUCGGCGAUUUGUUUAAUUAUGCUGCACCUGAUGAAGAACAUUCUCCUGAAAACUCAGAAGAUACACAUCCUGAUGUCCCAGUAUCGAGGUUAACUGAUGGUGGAUAUGAGGAAAGUAAAAGUUCAUACUGCUUUUAUGCAAGAAAAAAUUACAAGCAAGGAGAGCAGGUACUUCUUGGGUAUGGGACCUAUACUAACUUAGAGCUUCUAGAACAUUAUGGUUUUCUAUUGAAAGAAAAUCCAAAUGACAAGGUGUUCAUUGACUUAAAUGGAGGAAUGUGCACAUCAACUAGUUGGCCUAAAGAUUCUCUUUACAUCCAACCGGAUGGAACUCCUUCAUUUGCCUUGUUAUGUGCUUUACGCUUGUGGGCUACUCCGGCAAAACUACGUAAGACAAUUGGGAGUCGAAUUUAUAGUGGAUCAUUAGUGUCGGUGGAAAAUGAGCGUUUGAUCAUGAAAUGGUUAGCUAAACGCUGCACAUGUAUAUUAGGAAGGUUGAACACUACAAUUGGUGAAGAUAACAGGCUACUUAGCAAGAUUGACAGAAUGAUUGACCAGUAUUCUUGUCUAGGAUCGACAGAGACUCUCUAUCAGGACAACGAAAUUAGGGACUUUUUUCAAGCACAUGGCAUCAAAGAGGAAGGGUAUGAUCAUAUUCAACUGCUGAAAGUUAGGAGGUAUCUGGAGAGAUGGAAAUUGGCCAUUGAAUGGAGGGUGGCCUAUAAGAAGAUUCUUCAAAGCUGUGUUUUUUACUGUGAAAACAUGGUUUGCUGCCUACCUAUCAAGCAUGCUUAACAGACAGAUCAGUAUAUCAUGGAUUUCAUUGGAGAUAUUAAAGAUGUAUCAUCUUUACCGACUCAACUAAUUAUGGAGGUGGAUGGUCUUCUCCCAAUUCGUCCAUUAGGUAUUUUUAAUGAAAAGGUUAAAGCUAGGGGAGGAACGUACCGGCGCUGCCGUCCUCUCUAGCCUCCGUCGCAGAGGCGGCGGAGGUGGAAGCGCAUGAAUUCUCGGAGCUCGCUCCGUGCCGCGGCGACGGCUGGGCAGCGGGGGCCGCGACGACGAGGACCCGGCGGCAGAAGGGGCAGCUGGAACGGGACAUGAGCCAGGUGUCGACGCACCCGACGUGGAAUCCGUGUCCGCACUGUGGCAAGAUGCGGAUCUCGUCGCCACCCACGAACUCCGCGAGGCAAAUUGGGCACUCGGCGGGCUUCGCGUCCGCCGAGGCGGCGUAAGCGACCUUGGGAAGAUCCCCGAGCGCCUUCUUCUUGAGCCCCUUGCACGGCGGCGCUGCGGAGGCUCCCCGGCGGAGACAGGAGCAACGGGCCACGAGCGCGAGCCCGACAAGGCAGAUCAGCGCGCAGAGAAGCGCCGCGAGGAUCACCACCACGUCGGAGUCUACUGCGAACGGAUCCGAUGGCUGGGUCGCCGGUAGCACAUCGGAGUUCGCCUGCAGGAUUCUCGCCGCCCGGGGCAUUGGCGUAUCGAAGAGAAGGGCGUGCGACUGUGGAGUGAGCUCACAGCUGUUGGGAUUCGAUAACAAUUAAUUGCCUUGAAAUAAAUAAUAAAGUAUAAUUUCCGUUUUGCUAUCUAUAA
Zingiber officinale is the source of this 2304-nucleotide RNA transcript. It is a transcript of the gene named protein SET DOMAIN GROUP 40-like, with no coding region annotated. The record is from RefSeq and is a predicted model, not a curated record. Lineage: Eukaryota; Viridiplantae; Streptophyta; Magnoliopsida; Zingiberales; Zingiberaceae. The transcript has 8 exons.